UCGACCUGAGUUUAGGCAGGGCUACCCGCUGAACUUAA
Molecule: ribosomal RNA, 38 nt
Filed under: Chaetomorpha philippinensis
Lineage: Eukaryota; Viridiplantae; Chlorophyta; Ulvophyceae; Cladophorales; Cladophoraceae
Description: partial 28S ribosomal RNA
Source: RNAcentral